This 232-nucleotide ribosomal RNA is filed under the name uncultured bacterium. Its description in RNAcentral is "partial 16S ribosomal RNA". It matches the Rfam family "Bacterial small subunit ribosomal RNA", at positions 99 to 334 of the family's 1533-position model. The record is from RNAcentral.
CGGACGGGUGAGUAAUGUCUGGGAAACUGCCCGAUGGAAGGGGAUAACUACUGGAAACGGUAGCUAAUACCGCAUAACGUCGCAAGACCAAAGAGGGGGACCUUCGGGCCUCUUGCCAUCGGAUGUGCCCAGAUGGGAUUAGCUAGUAGGUGGGGUAACGGCUCACCUAGGCGACGAUCCCUAGCUGGUCUGAGAGGAUGACCAGCCACACUGGAACUGAGACACGGUCCAG